This is a long non-coding RNA of Mercurialis annua (annual mercury), 283 nucleotides long. RefSeq lists it as uncharacterized. The record is from RefSeq and is a predicted model, not a curated record. The transcript is spliced from 3 exons. NCBI's taxonomy places the organism in Eukaryota, Viridiplantae, Streptophyta, Magnoliopsida, Malpighiales, Euphorbiaceae.
CACCAUAGAUCAAAACACCAAGCUUUAUUCUUUGAUUUUCUCUCAAAAUUUUCUUAACGAAAAUUGUCGGGAAUAUUGUGUAGAUCGUUAAUGUGUAUUUGCAUGUUCGUUUGAGAUCCAGCGAGUUUUGUCGCGGAAACCGGCGAGCAAAGGUUUUGAUAUUCGACGGGUGAUAUUUUUAUAUUUGGAAUAAGCGAGUACUGCGAGUAGUUUGAGGUGUGGAUUUCCAAUUUCUUGUUCCGGAAAUCCCUGGCUUGAAUAAAGUGAGAAUGACUUUCCUUUA